RNAcentral lists this ribosomal RNA (440 nucleotides) under uncultured soil bacterium. RNAcentral describes it as "bacterial SSU rRNA". It matches the Rfam family "Bacterial small subunit ribosomal RNA", at positions 26 to 504 of the family's 1533-position model. The record is from RNAcentral.
AGAGCGAACGCUGGCGGCAGGCCUAACACAUGCAAGUCGAACGGACCCUUCGGGGUUAGUGGCGGACGGGUGAGUAACACGUGGGAACGUGCCUUUAGGUUCGGAAUAGCUCCUGGAAACGGGUGGUAAUGCCGAAUGUGCCCUUCGGGGGAAAGAUUUAUCGCCUUUAGAGCGGCCCGCGUCUGAUUAGCUUGUUGGUGAGGUAAUGGCUCACCAAGGCUACGAUCAGUAGCUGGUCUGAGAGGAUGACCAGCCACAUUGGGACUGAGACACGGCCCAAACUCCUACGGGAGGCAGCAGUGGGGAAUCGUUGCGCGGAUGGGGCGAAACGGCCUGGACGCAGCCAUCGCCGCGUGUAUGAUAGGAAGGUCUUAGGUAUUAGUAAAUUACUUCGACCGGUAGAAGAUAAUGAUGAGCCGAGAAGAAGCCCCGAUAACUCG